Molecule: ribosomal RNA, 497 nt
Filed under: uncultured bacterium
Lineage: Bacteria
Description: partial 16S ribosomal RNA
Rfam family: Bacterial small subunit ribosomal RNA
Source: RNAcentral
GAUGAACGCUGGCGGCGUGCCUAAUACAUGCAAGUCGAGCGAACGGACGAGAAGCUUGCUUCUCUGAUGUUAGCGGCGGACGGGUGAGUAACACGUGGAUAACCUACCUAUAAGACUGGGAUAACUUCGGGAAACCGGAGCUAAUACCGGAUGAGAUUUUGAACCGCAUGGUUCAAAAGUGAAAGACGGUCUUGCUGUCACUUAUAGAUGGAUCCGCGCUGCAUUAGCUAGUUGGUAAGGUAACGGCUUACCAAGGCAACGAUGCAUAGCUGACCUGAGAGGGUGAUCGGCCACACUGGAACUGAGACACGGUCCAGACUCCUACGGGAGGCAGCAGUAGGGAAUCUUCCGCAAUGGGCGAAAGCCUGACGGAGCAACGCCGCGUGAGUGAUGAAGGUCUUCGGAUCGUAAAACUCUGUUAUUAGGGAAGAACAUAUGUGUAAGUAACUGUGCACAUCUUGACGGUACCUAAUCAGAAAGCCACGGCUAACUACGUG